GGUAAUGUGAGACAGUGACACCCGAAGUGUGUUGCUUAUGUUCAAUCUACUCCGUUUUUUUUGUUUUGGUAGCUAUCACUGCAGAAAACCCCGCUUCACACAGAUAGGAUGUCGGAAAUGGCAACAGGGUUUUCAGUACUGUGGUGGCAAUCUCAGGGUAUUCUGCCAUGGCUUUAAUCCAGAACACCGGCAGAGUUACAUGCUGGAUUCACCUGGUUUGUUGAUAAAUGGGUCGCGGAUCCAUUCCUUGGCAGUUCGUGGGUCCUUUUUGGUUGGGAAGUAGCGC
Long non-coding RNA from Thalassophryne amazonica, 286 nucleotides. RefSeq lists it as uncharacterized. The record is from RefSeq and is a predicted model, not a curated record. NCBI's taxonomy places the organism in Eukaryota, Metazoa, Chordata, Actinopteri, Batrachoidiformes, Batrachoididae. The transcript has 2 exons.